RNAcentral lists this ribosomal RNA (465 nucleotides) under uncultured bacterium. RNAcentral's name for it is "partial 16S ribosomal RNA". It matches the Rfam family "Bacterial small subunit ribosomal RNA", at positions 28 to 507 of the family's 1533-position model. The record is from RNAcentral.
GACGAACGCUGGCGGCGUGCUUAACACAUGCAAGUCGAACGGAAAGGCCCCUUUGGGGGUGCUCGAGUGGCGGACGGGUGAGUAACACGUGAGUAACCUGCCCUUGACUUCGGGAUAACUUCAGGAAACUGGGGCUAAUACCGGCUAGGAAUCCUUGCUGCAUGGUGGGGGUGGGAAAGCUUCGGCGGUUUUGGAUGGACUGGCGGCUUAUCAGCUUGUUGGUGGGGUAGUGGCUUACCAAGGCUUUGACGGGUAGCCGGCCUGAGGGGGCGAACGGCCAAAUUGGGACUGGGAUUAGGCCCAGACUCCCACGGGAGGCAGGAGGGGGGAAUAUUGCACAAUGGGCGGAAGCCCGAUGCAGGAACGCCGCGGGCGGGAUGACGGCCUUCGGGUUGGAAACCGCUUUCAGCAGGGGAGAAGCUUGUGGUGACGGUACCUGCAGAAGAAGCACCGGCUAACUACGUG